UCGCCCCCGAGUGUAAACAGUGGUGGAAACAUGGACUCCACCUACAGCAGUGGUCCUCCAACUUCGUAUAAUUCUCAUUCCUCCCCGACGGACGUCCUGAACAAUAAUAAUACGAUGCAGAAUGGCAUCAACGCCUCGUCCACUGACUCGGAGGACACGGAGGAGGUCGAGAGCGUCCGUAACAACAACAACAGGAGCGCGAGACUCAUAGUGAAUAGUAGUAGUAGUAAUAGUGGUGGUGAUAGUGAGGUUAUGGUGGUGGCGAUCGGUGGUGGUGGUGGUGUUGGCAAUGUUACGAACAGUGCUAAUGGUGGGGGUGGGGGUGUUGUUGGUGGCUCGUCUUCCGCCGAAGUGGUGGUGAACGAUACGAAUAAAGAGGAGACGGAGGACAAGGAACUGGAGGAGUUGUCCAAACUGCGUUGUCAGAGCGUGGCCACCGAGGUGGUGGCAGAGAGGUACAAGCGGAGAUGCUCCGAUUAUCCGGGGAUCGCCUUCGGCUCCUCUCUCUUUAGCUCCAACACUAUGAUGAAAUUCAGCAUCAUCAAGAAUGAAUUGCACAAUAUCAUGAACGUGCAACUGAAAAGGGCUGAGGGUGAGGUCGCCGCUCUUAACCGCCGCAUCCAGCUGCUUGAGGAAGAUCUCGAGAGGUCUGAGGAACGACUCAACACUGCCACCACCAAGUUGGCUGAGGCCUCCCAGGCAGCCGACGAGUCCGAGCGAGCGCGCAAAUGUCUGGAAAACCGAGCAAACAUGGAAGACGACAGGGUCGGCAUCCUGGAGGCUCAACUAGCACAAGCCAAGCACAUUGCCGAAGAGGCCGAUAAGAAAUAUGAAGAGCUGGCCCGUAAAUGCGUUAUGCUGGAGAAUGACCUCGAGAGAGCUGAGGAAAGGGCAGAGGCUGCCGAAGGAAAGAUCGUCGAGCUUGAGGAAGAAUUGCGUGUCGUUGGCAACAACUUGAAGUCUCUUGAGGUGUCUGAAGAGAAGGCCAACCAGCGUGAGGAAGCUUACAAGGAGCAGAUUAAGACCCUGACCAACAAACUCAAGGCGGCUGAGGCCCGCGCUGAGUUCGCAGAGAGAUCUGUGCAGAAGCUCCAGAAGGAGGUCGACAGGCUCGAAGACGAUCUAGUAGCCGAGAAGGACAAAAAUAGAGUGUUGCAGGCAGAUAUGGAAGCCACUCUACAGGACAUCCAGAAUAUGUAGACAUGCCACUACAAGCCCCUUAUAAUCUGAGGAAGCAGACCCACUCACAGACGAACUGGUUAACGAAAAGGAGAAGUACAAGUCAAUUACCGACGAGCUCGACCAGACAUUCAGCGAACUGUCUGGCUACUAAACUAUUACAUUACAACACAAUACCCACUGCUGUUUAUUUACUACAACUCUUCUUCUCCUCCUCCUCCUCUUCUUCUUCCUCUUCCUCCCACUACUUUACUACUCUUCUGCCACGUCUAUCAUAUAUUUUUUAUUGUGCUAUAUUAUUAUAUCAUCACUAUUAUAUCAUGCUCCUCAGCUGGCCUUUAUAAUAAUAUAAUAAUCUCAUGCUAUCUUUAGAGACGAUGCCUUUUGUUUUAAUCACAUUCACUUAUAAUUUUUUUUAUUUUAUUUUCCUCUUUUUAUUAUCAUUAUUAUUAUUAUUAUUAUGAAUGAUUGUGUUGCAUCUGAUCACUCAGUAAUGUUUUAGUAUCAUCAUCUGUCGAGAAUUGAUCUCGCUUUAUAUAUCUAAUCUAUUUAUCACUUUUAUUUGAGUCUCUCGUUGCCACUGAGGUCACUUUUAUAAUGUUUAUUAAAACUGAAUAAGAUUCCAAUCAAUUUCAUUUGAGAAACCUUCAUAUUUUGAAGUUCAAUUCAGAAAGUUAGGUUUCUUGUGUUCUAGACUUGAUAAUAAUAAAAAUAUUUAAAAAAUAAAGUAUUUAUUAUAUACAAAACUUUACAUUUUUUUAUUUUCAACUUAUUUUGUGACGAGGAACGAAAACUUAUAAUAUAUUUAUAUAUAACAGUACCGAUGACUGUCAAAUCAAUAUAUAUAUUAUCUCUCACUUUCUCACUCACGUGGAGUUAAUCAGUUUAGCGAGUCAUAGAAAAUAAAAAAAAAAUAAAAGCAAAACAGCUGCUUCUCGACCAUCAUCUGCCAUCAGGAGUUGAGCAGCUGUCGUUGUAAUGCCUGUCAAAAAAAAAUCUCUCACCCAUCUGUUACAGAUGAACUUGUAAAUGAGAAAGAAAAAUAUAAGAACAUUGCGGAUGAGAUGGACCAGGCGUUCUCUGAACUGUCAGGGUUCUAAUGUGUGGCCCUUAAAGGCUGGUUGGUUGGUGGGCGCCUGUUUACACUAUGGUGCUCCGAUUAAAAAAAAAAAAAAAAAUGGGUUGGCGCGCGAGGGAGGGGGAGAAGUGUGGCGCCCUCCGUUCGGCCGGUGGGUUCGGGCGUGGACGCCCCACAUCCCGAAGGAGUGGCAUGGUCCCCCACGCCACUCCUGAAGGCGUGAGUCGUUCGCGCUCGUUUACUCCUCGUCCGUCCAGAGGCCACAAUUCCACCCCUCCAAGCGAGCCGCCUGCGGACUGACUUGACUGACGACCCGAGAUGCGCCCCCCAACAACAACUGCAACAUCAUCUACAAAACUCCAUCCACCAUCUUAUCGCCGCCGCCCAACCCAUCAUUGCUCUAUUAAUGAUGAAACGUCCGCCGUGUCUCGAAGAGUUUGGCCUAGACUCAUGUGUGGGUGGCGCUGUUGUGGUGUCUGGCUUCUGUCUGUGGGGCAAGUCAUCUUAGCUUCCCCUGCGGAGCCAGGAGUUGCCAAGUUGAUUUUGUACCUUCCUGUAGAAGCCUUGGACUUUUUAAAGGCAGCCCAACUCACUUGAGAAAAAGUUAAACUUUCCUUAAUUUUUUUUCUUUUCUCUUCCUGUCUCUCUUCUUCUCUUGCUGUGUUGCCGUAUGUAAGGGUGACAAUUUUAAGGUUCACCUUCAGUGCUAGAGUUGCAAUCAGUCCUAUUGUGCAUCCUGCAUUUACAUUAUUUGGAUUAUCAAUAAUAUAUAAGUUAAUAAUAUUAUUCAAAACUUUAGAGAAAUCUGGUUCUUAUACUUACAGAAUGAUUGUACACUGUUUGUUUAACGUGUAAUAAAUUUUGUAAACAA
This is an RNA transcript of Macrobrachium nipponense, 3128 nucleotides long. It is a transcript of the gene named tropomyosin Mac r 1.0101, with no coding region annotated. The transcript is spliced from 9 exons. NCBI's taxonomy places the organism in Eukaryota, Metazoa, Arthropoda, Malacostraca, Decapoda, Palaemonidae. The record is from RefSeq and is a predicted model, not a curated record.